Molecule: ribosomal RNA, 305 nt
Filed under: uncultured bacterium
Lineage: Bacteria
Description: bacterial SSU rRNA
Rfam family: Bacterial small subunit ribosomal RNA
Source: RNAcentral
GCCUACGGGGGGCAGCAGUAGGGAAUCUUCCACAACGGGCGAAAGCUUGAUGGAGCAACGCCGCGUGGGUGAAGAAGGUCUUCGGAUCGUAAAACCCUGUUGUUAGAGAAGAAAGUGCGUGAGAGUAACUGUUCACGUUUCGACGGUAUCUAACCAGAAAGCCACGGCUAACUACGCGCCAGCAGCCGCGGUAAUACGUAGGUGGCAAGCGUUAUCCGGAUUUAUUGGGCGUAAAGGGAACGCAGGCGGUCUUUUAAGUCUGAUGUGAAAGCCUUCGGCUUAACCGGAGUAGGGCAUUGGAAACU